RNAcentral lists this ribosomal RNA (460 nucleotides) under uncultured bacterium. RNAcentral's name for it is "partial 16S ribosomal RNA". It matches the Rfam family "Bacterial small subunit ribosomal RNA", at positions 338 to 795 of the family's 1533-position model. The record is from RNAcentral.
CCUACGGGUGGCAGCAGUGAGGAAUAAUUGUCCAUGGGCUUACGCCUGAACGAGCCAAGUCGCGUGAGGGAAGAAUGCCCUAUGGGUUGUAAACCUCUUUUGUCAGGGAGCAACGCCGGCUAAGUGUAGCCGGACUGAGAGUACCUGAAGAAAAAGCAUCGGCGAACUCGGUGUCAGCAGGCGCGGUAAUUCGGAGGAUGCGACCGUUAUCCGUAUUUUUUGGGGUGUAAGGGUGAGUAGGCGGGAUGCCAAGUCAGCGGUAAAAUCGUGGGGCUCAACCUCGCUCCGCCGUUGAUACUGGCGGUCUUGAGUGGGCGAGAAGUAUGCGGAAUGCGUGGUGUAGCGGUGCAAUGCAUAGAUAUCACGCAGAACUCCGAUUGCGAAGGCAGCAUACCGGCGCCCAACUGACGCUGAAGCACGAAAGCGUGGGUAUCGAACAGGAUUAGAUACCCGAGUAGUC